This 344-nucleotide unclassified non-coding RNA is filed under the name soil metagenome. RNAcentral describes it as "partial contains 5.8S ribosomal RNA, internal transcribed spacer 2, and large subunit ribosomal RNA". The stretch from base 1 to 119 matches the Rfam family "5.8S ribosomal RNA", at positions 36 to 154 of the family's 154-position model. The record is from RNAcentral.
AUGAAGAACGUAGCGAAAUGCGAUACGUAAUGUGAAUUGCAGAAUUCAGUGAAUCAUCGAGUCUUUGAACGCACAUUGCGCCCCCUGGUAUUCCGGGGGGCAUGCCUGUCCGAGCGUCAUUGCUGCCCUCAAGCACGGCUUGUGUGUUGGGCCUCCGUCCUCCUCCCGGGGGACGGGCCCGAAAGGUAGCGGCGGCACCGCGUCCGGUCCUCGAGCGUAUGGGGCUUCGUCACCCGCUCUUGUAGGCCCGGCCGGCGCUUGCCGACACAUCAAUCUUUUUUCCAGGUUGACCUCGGAUCAGGUAGGGAUACCCGCUGAACUUAAGCAUAUCAAUAAGCGGAGGA